Molecule: ribosomal RNA, 435 nt
Filed under: uncultured rumen bacterium
Lineage: Bacteria
Description: bacterial SSU rRNA
Rfam family: Bacterial small subunit ribosomal RNA
Source: RNAcentral
AACGCGAAGAACCUUACCAGAUCUUGAGAUCCAGAUGAAUACGUGGUAAUGCAUGUAGUCCUUCGGGACAUCUGAGACAGGUGGUGCAUGGUUGUCGUCAGCUCGUGUCGUGAGAUGUUGGGUUAAGUCCCGCAACGAGCGCAACCCUUGCCCUUAGUAGCCAGCACGUCAUGGUGGGCACUCUACGGGGACUGCCGGGGUCAACCCGGAGGAAGGUGGGGAUGACGUCAAAUCAUCAUGCCCCUUAUGUCUUGGGCUACACACGUGCUACAAUGGCGCACACAGAGGGAAGCGAACCCGCGAGGGGGAGCAAAUCCCAAAAAAGGCGUCUCAGUUCGGACUGCAGCCUGCAACCCGGCUGCACGAAGUUGGAAUCGCUAGUAAUCGCAAAUCAGAAUGUUGCGGUGAAUACGUUCCCGGGUCUUGUACACACCG